RNAcentral lists this long non-coding RNA (1408 nucleotides) under Carassius auratus (goldfish). Its description in RNAcentral is "lncRNA (ENSCARG00000029428.1)". The record is from RNAcentral. Lineage: Eukaryota; Metazoa; Chordata; Actinopteri; Cypriniformes; Cyprinidae.
UGGGCUUUGAACUGAUUUCUAAAUAAAUAACUUAAUAUUUACAUAUAAACCGGAGGUUGCAUGUUUGAACGCAAAAGGUCCACAGUCAUUAGGCAUGUAUACCUGUCUGUCUGAGUGAAGAUGUUUGUUGUUUUGGUCUAGGUUGCCUUUGGGAUGCGGACGGACCACCUCCUCUUUCGCAGUGGUCACGUGAUUGGUCCGCUUGAGAUGCCCAUGAUAACUGCGCUGAAUCACUGCUUUAAUUCGCGUUGGAUGCGGCCAGACGUGGCAUCAAUAUGAGGAACAAUCCCUUCCCUUUUGGGCUUUUUUUGUUCGCGUAUGGUGUGUUCGGUGCUGAUGGAGUGAAGUCAGUGUCAGUGUCAGUGAUGGUGGGAGAUUCUGUCACUCUACACACUGGUGAUACUAAAACACAGAGAGUUCUGGAACUGGUGUGGAAGAUUCAAGGCGAAAAUAAAUUCAUGGCAGAGAUUGAUAAAGAAAUAAAUAAACUAUCAGUACCAGGGAAUGAGGAGGAACCAUUCAGAGGCAGACUGAAGCUGGACAAUCUGACAGAUUCUUUGACCAUCACAAACCUCAAAACAGCAGACUCUAGAGUUUAUGAACUACAGAUCAAGACCACAAAAGAGACCAAAUCCAAGAUAUUCAAUGUUGAUGUCAGUGGUGAGUAACUCAAUGUGAUUAUUAACUAUCUGUGAACAAUAUCCUUUGAUAUAAUCACAAGAAUCCUUUAUGAAUAAAUUUCAGUAUGCUAAUAAACACUCAAGAUGUUUAGAGCAUUCGUAAAGGAUGUAAAUAUUUUCAGAGGAACUGUAACAGUGACCCUUUAGUAGAGUUAACACAAUUAUUUUAUUUUCCCCUAAAAAUAUUUUUAAUUUAAUGGAUAUAGAACAUAGAAUGAUUAAAUACAGAAAACUCCCCAAAUGCAUUUAAUGAAAAAAUAUUUUGCCAGAAUGCAAUAUCAAGGAAGAAUGAUCUUGCAGAAUGGUGUAGUUACUGCAUCUACCAGCAGGGUCUAACUGAUCCAUGCUGAAGAGCGAAACCGUGGUAUUAACCUUUCAUCAUAAUUUUGGUGUGCAGGAUGAAGGAGUUGCUUUACUCUAGAGAUGGCAUAUUCAUUUUCAAAUAUAGUUAAAAAGAUUUUACACAAUAUAUGAAGAGAGAUUAUAUCAAGCAAGCAUCAUCUUCAUAAAAAAGAUAAAUAAUAAUAAUAAUAAAAAAGUAAUACAUAAAAACACAAACAUAUAUGGAAUAUAUAUCCAUUAUUUGCCGCCCAUUAUAUGUGCCCCGGGAGUUUUCAUUGUUACUGCUGUUUACAUCCCACCAUAAACUGACACUGGCUUGGCUUUGUCUGAGCUUCACGAUGCGCUCCCAGCAACAACAUCAACAAACAUCCUGACGCUGCUAUUAU